AUACUGAGGGUGCAAGCGUUAAUCGGAAUUACUGGGCGUAAAGCGAGUGUAGGCGGCUACGUAAGUCGGAUGUGAAAGCCCUGGGCUCAACCUGGGAAUGGCAUUCGAAACUGCGUAGCUAGAGUCUGAGAGAGGGAAGUGGAAUUCCAGGUGUAGCGGUGAAAUGCGUAGAGAUCUGGAGGAACAUCAGUGGCGAAGGCGGCUUCCUGGCUUAAGACUGACGCUGAGGCUCGAAAGCGUGGGGAGCAAACAGGAUUAGAAACCCCAGUAGUCC
This 274-nucleotide ribosomal RNA is filed under the name uncultured bacterium. RNAcentral's name for it is "partial 16S ribosomal RNA". It matches the Rfam family "Bacterial small subunit ribosomal RNA", at positions 523 to 796 of the family's 1533-position model. The record is from RNAcentral.